AGUAGCCGCGGGAACACGAAGGGUGCAAGCGUUAAUCGGAAUUACUGGGCGUAAAGCGCGCGUAGGUGGUUUGGUAAGAUGGAUGUGAAAUCCCCGGGCUCAACCUGGGAACUGCAUCCAUAACUGCCUGACUAGAGUACGGUAGAGGGUGGUGGAAUUUCCUGUGUAGCGGUGAAAUGCGUAGAUAUAGGAAGGAACACCAGUGGCGAAGGCGACCACCUGGACUGAUACUGACACUGAGGUGCGAAAGCGUGGGGAGCAAACAGGAUUAGAUACCCCUGUAGUCCCUGUCUCUUAUACA
RNAcentral lists this ribosomal RNA (301 nucleotides) under uncultured bacterium. Its description in RNAcentral is "partial 16S ribosomal RNA". It matches the Rfam family "Bacterial small subunit ribosomal RNA", at positions 510 to 808 of the family's 1533-position model. The record is from RNAcentral.